CCAAUGUCAAAUUUGAUAGUUUGGAUGUGUCAUAAAGUUUGAAAAAAUUUCUUUUGAAAUUUGACCUUGGUCAAUAGAAUAAAUACAGCCACCCGAUUUUACAUCCAAUGGUCAGCAUUAAUUAUGACCACCUUGUACCAAAAGUCAAAAAUCUCAUUCUAUACUUUUCCUUAUCCUCUAUCUCAUCCUCAUAUAGAUCAAGAGUUAUCUAAAGUGCGCUAAAGAUAUUAAAGAGAUCAAAGUUGACACGGGUUUUCAGGUAUACCCUCUCUCUCUCUCUCUCUUAACAAUCCCUUAAAUUUAUAGGGAAAAGGUUUUGCAAGUCCACCUUCUCAUGCAUCUGUCCUGUUAUUACUUAAAAGUUCACAGCAUAAAAAAAAAACCUGAGAGUUCAUAUUUUGUGCGCUCGCAAUGAAAUGCCCAAGACACUCAAUGCCUAUUGUGGUCGAGAUGACCACAUGAAGUUUCCCAGCAUUGAUUUGUCUUCGUUCAUUUCUGUGUUACUUUUCUGGGUGUAUUCAUGUAUGGGGAGAGAGAGUGAGCGAGAGAGAGAGAGAGAGAGAGAGAGAGAGAGAGAGAGUAGUACUAAUAAUAUAAGUAACGUUACGUUUAGGAACGGUAAACCUAAAACCGUUACGUAAAGUAAAGUUUUGUUUAGUAUAGUAAGUUCGUUUUCGUACGAACNNNNNNNNNNNNNNNNNNNNACGUUACGACGUACGUAUAGUGACGAGUGAGACGUACGAGAGAGAGAGAGAGAGAGAGAGAGAGAAGAGAUAGAAGAGAGAGAGAGAGAGAGAGAGAGAGAGAGUUCUCAAAUAUAUAAGACCUUUUGAGGGUCAAAAACCUCGUUAGAAAUGUUUGUAUG
RNAcentral lists this long non-coding RNA (865 nucleotides) under Amborella trichopoda. Its description in RNAcentral is "long non-coding RNA (ATRI_LNC003480)". Lineage: Eukaryota; Viridiplantae; Streptophyta; Magnoliopsida; Amborellales; Amborellaceae. The record is from RNAcentral.